RNAcentral lists this microRNA (21 nucleotides) under Haemonchus contortus (barber pole worm). Its description in RNAcentral is "hco-miR-5949". Lineage: Eukaryota; Metazoa; Nematoda; Chromadorea; Rhabditida; Trichostrongylidae. The record is from miRBase by way of RNAcentral.
CGUGGGCUUCACGACACUGGG